Molecule: long non-coding RNA, 371 nt
Filed under: Cavia porcellus (domestic guinea pig)
Lineage: Eukaryota; Metazoa; Chordata; Mammalia; Rodentia; Caviidae
Description: lncRNA (ENSCPOG00000030667.1)
Source: RNAcentral
UCUGGCUAUGUAGGAUCCUCCCUCUCUGCCUCCAGCAGGCUGAGUCACAGGAGUGUGGGGUCCCCUCAGACCCCAGAACCUUCCCUGACACCCAGGCCACAGCCUGGCACGGCACUCUGAACUGUCCUCGCUGGUGGGCGGAAUAUUUUUAUUCUCCAAACUCUCCAAGCACACAGCAAAAAGGCCUCAAGGAGCUUCUAAAAGAUUCUCAAUAGGAUAAGAAGCUGGUGCAGAGCUUCAGCCAUGGAAGCUUCCAGCCUGCCAAGCAUUGCCUCUCAGAGCAGGGCAGUAAGUUGGUGGAGGUAGGUUGGUGGCCGCCAUGAGUGAGCGUCAGUCCCCACUGGACCCAGAAGCCAUGGGAGCUGGCCUGG